AUCAGCACAAUGCCCAGUAGAGCCAUGUUCUCAAAACAGCCUGGUCACUGAGAGAGAGGGUCAGAUCCCUGACGAUCUCAGACUCCCCGUGUAACUGGCCUCCCUUUACCCCAGGAAGCGGACCAAUCCAGUUGUGGCAGUUUCUUCUGGAGCUACUCUCUGACAAGUCCUGUCAAUCUUUCAUCAGCUGGACGGGGGAUGGAUGGGAGUUCAAGCUUGCUGACCCCGAUGAGGUAUGGCCACUGGCGCUGUCAGUCUCAGUCUGUCAUGUUGGAUCUUAAAGCCAAUCCUUGGCACAAGGAAAGCCAACAGAGCCAACAAAAGCCCUCCUCUACCAGGAAUCCCUGGCUCUUAGGCUGAACUAUAGCCACUGCCUCAUGGAUAGAUGGGCCUGGUGUUCAUUGGCCAGUGCCUUCCUCUGUGGACCUUGUCUGUCAGAGGUCUCUGGUGACCCUCAGCAAGCUCUAGAGGGAGCUUGCCUUUGUUCCUAGUUAGACAAAGCACAUAGCUGCCCAGCAGCCUUCAGGGCUGGCAUUGAGGCUCCCUGCUGGAGAAGGCUUUGGUAGAUAGGCAUGAUGCCAGUGAUCUGAGUAAUCGCUCACCCUCUCUGCAUCUGGAGGAAUGAGUGUGGCUCAUGGGCCAGAAUAGUCUCUUCAGCUAUCACAUGGCUUGAAAUGUGUCUCAGCUGGCAGAGUGGCUGCCUAGCUUGCCCGCAGCCUUGGGUUCAUCUCCAGCACCACGUCGUAAAUCUGGUGUGAUGGCACAUGCCUACCUGUAAUCACAGCACCUUGGGUUAGGGCAGGGGGUGGGGUGGGGAGGCAGAAACUGAAGGAUGAGAGCUUCAAGGUCAUCCUUGUCCACACAGUGAGUUUCUGGCCAGCUUGGGAUACAGAAGACUCUGGCUCUUUAAAAGAGAGAAAGGAUUAAAAACUUGAAAGAACCAUGAGGGCACGCCUGGUUCCAAAUGGCUGGUCCAGGAGACUGUGCUGAGAUGGCGCUGGGGACAGAGACAGGGACAUCACUGGCCCUUGUACAGGGAAACAUCUGCAUGUAUUUAUAAAGGCCCAGACUGAACAUCUGUCGGUCCCAGUGACAGUCAGGUUUUUCAGGGUGAGCACCCAGGGUCUGGAGCCAGUCAUGACCCAAGAGAGGACAUAGGUGACCCUGACCUUUCUGUGUCUUCUCAAAGGUUGCCCGCCGGUGGGGGAAGAGGAAAAAUAAACCAAAGAUGAACUACGAGAAGCUGAGCCGGGGCUUACGUUACUACUACGACAAGAACAUCAUCCACAAGACUUCGGGCAAGCGCUACGUGUACCGUUUCGUAUGUGACCUGCAGAACUUGCUGGGCUUCACUCCGGAGGAACUGCAUGCCAUCCUGGGCGUCCAGCCUGAUACAGAAGACUGAGGGCCUCAGGACCACCCUGAGCCAGCCCCGGGCCCAGGGACUGAGUGGGAAGCCCGUCCUGACCCACUUGCUCCAAAGACCCAUGGGAGGGCAGGAUGGUACCCCUCGGGAGAGAGCCACCAAGCAGCAGUGGCCUUUCAUCCACGCCUCUUCCACAAGCCAAUGCCCCAUGGUGGAAACCGGCAUAGCCUCUCUGUCCUGUAUGAGACCCCCCUGAAGGGAAGAGUCUCUGGGAAGCCACCGUGGCACCGAGCAGGCCCUGUGCAUUGUGGCUAUUUGAGAUGCUCCAGGGAGCCAGCAUGUGGUGGAUACACAGACACUGAGAAACAUUGUUUUUCCUUUGGCCUUUUGCCUCCAGGAGUAGCAAAUGCAAAAAGCCACCUCUGCUUGAGAGGGCCCGGCAGGUGGAGAGUGUGAUUGUCCAUUUCAGAAGUCAGUUUGUUUGUACAUACUAUUGUAUCUUAUAAUUGUCCUAAUCCUCCAACAGUUCUAUUUAACAGAAAUUGUAUAUUGUAUUUAAAGUAAUUAUAACUUGUCUGAAUCAAGAAUGCAGAUACCUAAUAGGUUAUCCUUUUAUUUUUUUCACUCCUACAUAGGAACGUCAUUUUACACCGAUUUAAUCUCUUAGAAUCCAACUGAGAGAAACCGUGAUAUUCUGUUUUUGUUUUAUUUACCAGCAGGAAUGGGCUCUGAAGGGUGACCUGGUUUUUUCUUUUGUUUUGCUCUCUUGUUAUUGUUGCUCAUUAUCUGACCAGGACUUUGUAUAUUGGUUUUUUUUUAUAAGAAACUUAAUGUUAUUAUUUGAGGGUCCAUAUGGCCUCUCCACUCUCCUGGACUGUAAAAGCUGUAAAGCGGUAUUUUUCUUGACACAUGGCACAUGUUUUCCACUUCCCUGCAUGCCUUAAGCCAAUUUAUACACAAAUGUAUUUUAUUUUUUGGCGUAACUGGGUUUUCCAGGCAACUCCCCUCCCCCAGCCAGUCCUUCCCUUCCUUCGCCCCAAGAUAUUCUGUGUGACUACAACAAGAAGACUAUUUUUGGAAAUAUAUGGGAUUUAUGUAGCAGCUAUUUUUACUGCAAAAGUAACUCACUGGAAAAAAAUAUUGUAAUUUGUACGAAAGCUUUAUUUUUAUCUUAGUCACGUAAAGGGAGAUGUGUCGGGUGGGCAGGGCUCAGGGCAAUCAGGAGGGAUCUUCCAUCAGCCUUGACCUUAAACGAAGUGUGGUGCUUCCUGUCUUGCUGACCUGCUAUGUCUCUUAACCAUCUGGGCUGCAUGCUCCUCUUUCUGCUCCGUGUGCUCAGAGAUUUGCUCCUCUUAUUUUUUUGGCCAUGGAUACCCAGAAGCACAGACAGAGCAAGCAUGCUGGGAAAUGGUGUCUUGGACCAGUUCUGUACGAGGAGGUUCUCAUCUAGUGAAGAGCUAACUCCACCAUGAGACCCCCACGCUUUCAUCUAGUUGUGAACUGGCUUCGCCGUUUACCAGCAUGGUGACCUCAGAUCAGCAAGUGACAUUGAUAAAGAGCCGUUAUACCAUGAGACCACACGGGACGUAGGACCAGCUGGGACCUGCUGUGCCAGUCCUGGGAGGUCUUGGCCUGCAUGCCCCAAGAGAAAUGCUUUGUGGUUAAGCACAGGGACCUGUUUGUCGCUGGGACAUCUGUGUGUAAUAUAAACAGACAUGGGACUUGGAGCAUCCUCCUGUCAGAGGCCUAAUCCUCAGUCAGUUUAUGUACAGUGGAGCCACAUGACAUUGCCAAGUUUAACCUGAGUCUUGUCAGCCAACAUGACGGUUUUACCUGGUUGAAUCUAACAGUCAUGGAAGUCCUCAGAAGUCUUUGGCUGGGUCUUAAGUAUGAAGGUUUUGUAAUUUGGCCUCCUCUUUCUCAAAUAAUAAAGUAUUUGGUUUAUG
Molecule: long non-coding RNA, 3312 nt
Filed under: Mus musculus (house mouse)
Lineage: Eukaryota; Metazoa; Chordata; Mammalia; Rodentia; Muridae
Description: long non-coding RNA chr16:95717733-95721045
Source: RNAcentral